GACGAACGCUGGCGGCGUGCCUAAUACAUGCAAGUCGAGCGCAGGAAAUCGACGGAACCCUUCGGGGGGAAGUCGACGGAAUGAGCGGCGGACGGGUGAGUAACACGUAAAGAACCUGCCCUCAGGUCUGGGAUAACCACGAGAAAUCGGGGCUAAUACCGGAUGGGUCAUCGGACCGCAUGGUCCGAGGAUGAAAGGCGCUUCGGCGUCGCCUGGGGAUGGCUUUGCGGUGCAUUAGCUAGUUGGUGGGGUAAUGGCCCACCAAGGCGACGAGGCAUAGCCGACCUGGGAGGGUGAUCGGCCCCACUGGGACUGAGGCACGGCCCAGACUCCGACGGGAGGCAGCAGUAGGGAAUCUUCCACAAUGGGCGAAAGUCUGAUGGAGCAACGCCGCGUGAACGAUGAAGGCCUUCGGGUCGUAAAGUUCUGUUGUAAGGGAAGAACAAGUGCCGCAGGCAAUGGCGGCACCUUGACGGUACCUUGCGAGAAAGCCACGGCUAACUACGUGCCAGCAGCCGCCGUAA
This 524-nucleotide ribosomal RNA is filed under the name uncultured bacterium. Its description in RNAcentral is "partial 16S ribosomal RNA". It matches the Rfam family "Bacterial small subunit ribosomal RNA", at positions 28 to 523 of the family's 1533-position model. The record is from RNAcentral.